Molecule: unclassified non-coding RNA, 4282 nt
Filed under: Hevea brasiliensis (rubber tree)
Lineage: Eukaryota; Viridiplantae; Streptophyta; Magnoliopsida; Malpighiales; Euphorbiaceae
Source: RNAcentral
UUCUGUUGAGUUUCUUGGAAAGGAUUAUAGGUUGGUAUUUGGAUGAAAGCGGCUAGUUUGUAAAAUGGCUUAUAAGUAGAAUGUGGGCAAAAAGAAGAAAGGGGAUUGCAGUAAGAUGAUGGUGGGAGAAAAGGCAAGCUAUACAGCCUUUAGCUAUAGCUAUAUUUAUAAAAGAAUCUAAAUAUCUGCAUUUUUCACCCAUGAAAUUUGAGGCAAAAAAAAGAAAAACACCCUGUAAUGUAAACUCUCCAGAAUUAGCAUGCUUUCAUUUAGGAAAGAUGACAUUGGGGUUUCGUAUGUGGGGAACAAAACCUGCCAACUCCUUCCGACAAAUUGGAGUGGCAUUAGCAUGAGAGCUUAUGCUCCACAAGAAAUCAUCAUUCUGCACCUUCCUCUUCAACUGUGGGUAUGAUGCUAUAAUGGCGCUGGAUUUUGAAAAUGAAUGCUUUGAGGACUUGGUCAUGCCACUAGCAAGCAGCCAGCGCGUCCCAUAUUGUUGCUGCGUUUUGGUACCCCAGUGCGUCUUCCCAGGCUCAGAAUUCAACCCUGAAAGAUGGACUUCAGUGAUUUUAAAGCCAUGUGAAACUUCCUCUUCCUCCUCGUCUUUCUCCUCGUCCAAUCUGUUGCCACAAGUGUCUUCUUCUUGGAUCCAUUCACAAUCCUCUUCUUCAUUGUUGCUUCUCUCUGAAAUUGUUGCAUACACUUUCGGCUUAAGGUGGAAGAAAGACCUCUCUACUUGAACAAUUGCAAGCAUUGAGGCACCAACUGGCUCAUAAUUUCGAAAAGGAUCUCUAAGCAACACCAUUAGAGCUAAAGUGAGGUUGUUAUCCAACAAACCACGACUUCUUCCACAUGCUUCAUCCCAAUUAAUCUCUCUCGACAAUUUUCCAUGACUGAAGUCCAUGCACCUAGCAUGAUGGGCUGCGAGGAUCUUUUUAAUGCGCUCACUAACUUUGUCUUCAUCACCAAUGGCACCUGCAUCAAGCCUUAACCACUCCUCUAGUGUUACAGAAAGAUCCAAUAAUCUGUCAACAUCAUUACCACUAUCUCUAGGAUAAAGAGCUUGCGAUUCCGCAGCCCCUUCUGAACAGAGAAACAAACCAAGAUUGGCACUCUUCCCUUCAAAAGCCAACAUAUUUUCAAUAGAUUUGGAACAAAUGCUUGAUGGUGCCUCCUCUGACAUGCUAGACUGAAUUUUCAAACCUUCAAUUGACAUGGCUUCAAUAGUAUCCAUUGCCAAGGGAGUAAGAUAUUCAAGAGAUGCAUAGUCUGAGCCCAUCUUAGCACCAGAUAAUGAUUCAUGACACAGGGAAGUCUGCCUAGCAGGCACAGCUGCGUCAUGUGCUAUUUGUUGCAAUGUCUUCCCAGUGAUAUCCUCCAAAGGCAUUAAUUUCUUCGCCUGCUGAGACAAAUUCUUGAUUCCAAUUGAUGCCAAAUGUUGUAAUAUCUCAAUAAUAUCAGAACCCAUUUCUGCAGGUAGCACAACUGCGUGGGAAACUUGCAUGAUCAAGCUCCCAACAUUUUUAGAAUUUCUGAAAAUAGAAGGAUUCAUAGACCGCAAAUAACCCCCAUCCUUUGUCUGGACAAGAGGUCCAAAGCCAUCUCCAAGUGGAGGUAAUUUAACAGGCUCCUCAGGGAGAAGCUCAACUGGACUCCCAAAUCCAUCUGAGCAAUGGCGUGGAGAGCUUUGAAAAGCUUCCUCAUUUAAGCCCCACUGUUUCAUUAGAGUUUCAGUCUCCAAAUCUUCAAGCAACUUGGCCUUCCUUCUUCUGUUAUACAAUUGGCUAGUCCUUUGGUGCUCCUCCUCAGCAGCCUGAAUAGCCUUAUGUAAAUCAAAAUCUUCAGGAAGAUCUCCACAAUCAGACCCUGCUGGAGCAAUACAACCAAAUUCUUCUUGCUUGCCUUCUGCUUCAUAUUCAAUAAUAAAGCUUCCAGAAGCUAUGGCCUCCUUUUCAAACUCUCUUAAUAGACGCUCUCUAGGAGACUCGGGAUCACCAUGUGAAGUCAGACCCAAGGGACUAUGCUCUAUCCCCAGAAUGUUCAAGAAAUCACUUGCUACAGAUUCAGUGAUUUCAUCCAAGCUGAGAGAUUUCUUUACCGCUUUACCAGCCUUGUAGUUUGUUUUAGUCUCCAUGUAACUCUCCUGCUCUAAAAAAUCACCAAUUGCGAGUGGGGAUUCCAAUUUUUCAGAUUCUGAAGUUAAAAAGCUAUUGAAAGCUAACUCCAGAUCUUCCAUGCUAGAUCCCUUUUUACGAAAACUACUCCCUUCAUGUUUGAAGUCAUCCACCGAAACCAUAUCCACAUAAUUAUCACAGAAGUUAUCCUCUAAAUGAAGCUUAGUCUUCCUAUCAAGCUCUAUAUCAUCAUCCUUUAUAAUUUCAUCCACAUUAAUAGUUUCAAUUCUAGGACCAUCAACAAGUUGAACAUCAAACUCUUCUGAUUCCAAGUCUUCCUUUCUAGGCAUUUCUAUUCCCUUCUCAAUUAUAGUAAACUCAAUGCUAUCAUAAUCAUUUCGACUAAUAUCUUUGUCAAACUCAAACUCCAGACCAGACUUUAAUUUGAGUGGCUGCGCAUGUACAGGUAUGGUAUGAAUAUCUUCUGAACUGUGCAAUUUCACCUCAUUCAGUUUCUUAUAUAGAGAGUUUAUUGACUUGGAGAGUUCCAACCCCAGGUUUGGUGAAACUUCAUCACAAAUCUUUACAUCAACAGACUGAGAAGAGAGAUAAGAACUGUGGUUUAAAUCACUGGGAACACUUCCAACCCGCCGAAGCAUCCCAUUAUUGUUAGUUUGCCCAACAUCUGUUAUUUUAUCUACCUUAGAUGACCUAUUGUGCAUUAAGUUUACAAGCUCAGAGACAUUCAUAUUCCUUCUGGUUUCAAUUAAGUUGUCCCUGACUACAGAGAAACCUAAACUAACGUUUAGGGUAGCACCCUUGGUCUUGCCUGCAAGUUUAAAGCUUGUAGUCCAUUUACCAGUGCUUUUCUCCCCCUCUAAUUCCUCCAAAGUGAGUGGCAACAGCCUUGUGAGAUCUACCCACUGUUUCCCCAUAUCAACACCCAGAGCCCCAAUUACAGAUACAUAAAUCAAGAAAAGCUUCACUUCGUACUUUGCUGACUGGUGAGGUCCACUUCUACUACCAUAAACACAACAUUUAUGCAUCAAAGUCUCGUCAAAUUCUGCAACUCCUUUCAAGACCCUUGAUGGACGGGUCUGCAGAACCUCAUCCUUUCUUUUCCAAUGCACAGACAAAUUCAUAUCAUCAAAGCUCGGAGGCAAACCUUCAAUUGAAUGCACAUGUAGGAAGAAACAGAUAUUGAACUUUUGACGGCCAAUAUGGGCUAAAGCUUUUAAGGGAUUCUUCCAAUUCCAUACUGAUGAUAAUUUCUUGUUCUCAUACGUCACCCUUGUAUCAACAGUUCUUGGGUGCAGGCUUGACUUUGAUUCUGAUAACCGAGGUUUCUCAACUGAUUUAGAUCGAACAGAGGAUGGAGAAAUUAAAGCUUUUUGUGGGGUUUUCUGCAGGUAUAGGGCUUUGCUUAUUGCCUCAAUGUCACGCAACAAUUGAACAUUAUUUGAAUUUCCAUCGCCAUCACCAUUAGUAGAACCAAUUUUUGACAGCAUCAUCUUGGCAUCCAAAGAGAAAAAUGCAAGCUUACACACAUAACCCAAUUCACCAUAGACCCGCUUGCCAGUUUAGCAUACAACUUAAAGUCUCUCUCUUGAAUCACAAUUCUAAGACAUAAACCACAAAAUAGUAAGAGAAUUAAAAAUGUAUUUUAAAAGAAUUCACUGUUCAAACCAUCAGAAAUAUGUUCAAUAAAUCAAAUAAAAUAACAGCCAAAUCAAUUAUCAAAAUAGUGUAUUGUCUGAUCACCAUAAAAUCACAAAAAACUCCAAAAAGUGUAAAAUCAAUCCAACAUAGUGCUAAUUCAACCCCAACAAUCACUCUUCUCACAGCAAUUUCUCAGAAAUCAAACAGGAAAAAUUCCCAGAUAGCGAAAACUAACAAAUCAAUCGAACGCUAGUACACUUACCGAGAUCAGAAUUCACUUUUCCGGAGGAAAUCAAGCAAAGAAAAAAUUCCAGAGUUUACUUGCUCGAUUUCAUUUCAUGGGCUCAGUUUCUGCGCUUUCAAAGACUGAAAAGAAAGAAGAAGACAAGAGGCUUGAUAAGCGUAGCUGGUUAAGCUAACUGUAGCAUUUCUCGGGAUCGUGUAGUUUACUUGCCAAUGCUUUCCCGGAAAAUUUCACGAGACUAACGCGAGAAAAUUGAAAUUUUUUU